RNAcentral lists this long non-coding RNA (796 nucleotides) under Phoenix dactylifera (date palm). RNAcentral's name for it is "long non-coding RNA (PDAC_LNC018156)". The record is from RNAcentral. Lineage: Eukaryota; Viridiplantae; Streptophyta; Magnoliopsida; Arecales; Arecaceae.
GUCAUCUAUAUUUUGUAACCGUUGGAUUUUUUUUAACCCCCUGUUCUCCGAUGCAUGGACUGGAAAAUAUGGUCUUCAGUAAUCUCCCUAGCCAAUCAACAAUUGGAGAGAAAAAUUUAAAGGAGACACUGAGUGCAAGAUGCUUGGUGAUCUUGCAAGGUGUCAAUACUUGGCAAAACUCACAGUAGAUUAGUGAUGCAGGUAUGUGGUCAUAUAGGCAGUAGCUUUUGCUGGCCAGAUUGAUAAGAGCCAGUCAGUCAUCACUGGUUGGCAAUAAUUAGUAGCUACAACUGCCAUUUGAUAUCCAAAACUUCCAAAUACAAUAGGAAAUGUGAAGAACUUGGAAAAACUGCCAUAGCACCUCAGGGAAACUAAACAGCUUAUGUAUGAAUUAUUCCACUUCAAUCAUGGCACAUCAUGUAAUCAUCCAAUUCAUUUUGGUGCGAACAUUUAUUCAAAUUUUUUAAAAGGAUGAAGAAUCAUGAAAAAUAUUAAAACACUGCAUCAGCUGGCGUCUCUUUUAAAUGGUGCAUCAAAUACAUAUGGUUUGUGAUAUAUGGCAAUGAUAUGUAAGGUCAUGAUAUCUGUUAUUUAAAAUCAUGGCCAAUGAUCACUUUAUGCAUGUAGUCCAAUAAAAAAUUUCCAAUUCUUAAUCAGGAAAAACCAGAAAAAAGAAGAAAUAAAACUAAGCAAAGGUUAAUUUGGGUACUGACUUUACAAUCAUGAAAUAGAGAAUGCCCUGUAGCCCUCCUUCUCAAGCUGUUUUGCCAGUGAAACAUCACCAGUCCUCACAAUU